Molecule: ribosomal RNA, 1509 nt
Filed under: metagenome
Description: bacterial SSU rRNA
Rfam family: Bacterial small subunit ribosomal RNA
Source: RNAcentral
AGGGUUUGAUCCUGGCUCAGAACGAACGUUAGCGGUGUGGAUUAGGCAUGCAAGUCGCGCGUGAAAGUCUUCGGACGAGUAAAGCGGCGAAAGGGUGAGUAAUACGUAGUCAAUCUACCUUCGAGACCGGGAUAACACUGGAAACGGUGGCUAAUACCGGAUGGUCUCGCCGGGGGGCAUCCCCUGGCGAGUAAACGGUAGCGCAAGCUUUUGCUCGAGGAGGAGACUACGGGCUAUCGGCUAGUUGGUGAGGUAACGGCUCACCAAGGCGAUGACGGCUAGCCGGUCUGAGAGGACGAUCGGCCACACUGGGACUGAGACACUGCCCAGACUCCUACGGGAGGCUGCAGUCGAGAAUCUUCCGCAAUGGGCGCAAGCCUGACGGAGCGACACCGCGUGCAGGAUGAAGGCCUUCGGGUUGUAGACUGCUGUCACGCUAUAGGAAUGGUCUGGUGUUAAUAGCGCCAUGCUUGACUAAAGCGAGAGGAAGCACCGGCUAACUCCGUGCCAGCAGCCGCGGUAAGACGGAGGGUGCAAACGUUGUUCGGAAUCACUGGGCAUAAAGAGCACGUAGGCGGCGCUCUAAGUCAGAUGUGAAAUCCCCCGGCUCAACCGGGGAACUGCACCUGAUACUGGAGCGCUCGAGGACGGUAGGGGUGAGUGGAACUCCAGGUGGAGCGGUGAAAUGCGUAGAUAUCUGGAGGAACACCGGUGGCGAAGGCGGCUCACUGGACCGUCUCUGACGCUGAGGUGCGAAAGCUAGGGUAGCAAACGGGAUUAGAUACCCCGGUAGUCCUAGCCGUAAACGAUGGGCACUAGGCAAGGGGGUUACCUAUGGACCUCCUUGCCGGAGCUAAUGUAUUAAGUGCCCCGCCUGGGGAGUACGCUCGCAAGGGUGAAACUCAAAGGAAUUGACGGGGGCUCACACAAGCGGUGGAGCAUGUGGUUCAAUUCGAAGCAACGCGAAGAACCUUACCUGGCCUUGACUUGCACGGAUUAACCCUGUGAAAGCAGGGUAACAGCUCUUCGGAGUCGGAACGUGCGCAGGUGUUGCAUGGCUGUCGUCAGCUCGUGUCGUGAGAUGUUGGGUUAAGUCCCGUAACGAGCGAAACCCCUAUUCUUAGUUGCCAGCGGGUAAUGCCGGGGACUCUAGGAAGACUGCCGUUGUCAAGACGGAGGAAGGUGGGGACGACGUCAAGUCAUCAUGGCCCUUAUGGCCAGGGCUACACACGUGCUACAAUGGUCUGUACAAAGGGUUCCGAUGCCGCGAGGUGGAGGUAAUCCCCAAAGCAGACCCCAGUUCGGAUUGCAGGCUGAAAUUCGCCUGCAUGAAGCCGGAAUCGCUAGUAAUCGCGUAUCAGCCAUGACGCGGUGAAUAUGUUCCUGAGCCUUGUACACACCGCCCGUCAAGCCACGAAAGCGGGGAGUGCUCGAAGUCGCUUUGCCCAACCUUCGGGGGGGCGGCGCCGAAAGCAAGCUCCGUGAUUGGGACUAAGUCGAAACAAGGUA